This 253-nucleotide ribosomal RNA is filed under the name uncultured bacterium. RNAcentral describes it as "partial 16S ribosomal RNA". It matches the Rfam family "Bacterial small subunit ribosomal RNA", at positions 524 to 776 of the family's 1533-position model. The record is from RNAcentral.
UACAGAGGGUGCAAGCGUUGUUCGGAAUUAUUGGGCGUAAAGAGCGUGUAGGCGGCCAGACAGGUCCGUUGUGAAAACUCGAGGCUCAACCUCGAGAUGUCGAUGGAAACCGUCUGGCUAGAGUCCGGAAGAGGAGUGUGGAAUUCCUGGUGUAGCGGUGAAAUGCGUAGAUAUCGAGAGGAACACCUGCGGCGAAGGCGGGUUGCUGGGCCGACACUGACGCUGAUGCGCGAAAGCCAGGGGAGCGAACGGG